RNAcentral lists this ribosomal RNA (461 nucleotides) under uncultured bacterium. RNAcentral's name for it is "partial 16S ribosomal RNA". It matches the Rfam family "Bacterial small subunit ribosomal RNA", at positions 29 to 507 of the family's 1533-position model. The record is from RNAcentral.
ACAAACGCUGGCGGCGUGCCUAAUACAUGCAAGUCGAACGGGGAAAGUAGCAAUAUGAGUACUAGUGGCGCACGGGUGAGUAACGCGUGGAUAAUCUGCCUUGAAGAGGGGGAUAACUAGUCGAAAGAUUAGCUAAUACCGCAUAAGACCACAAGAACUGAGGUUCAAGGGGUCAAAGGUUUUUCGCUUCAAGAUGAGUCCGCGUAAGAUUAGCUAGUUGGUGAGGUAAUGGCUCACCAAGGCAACGAUCUUUAACUGGUCUGAGAGGAUGAUCAGUCACACUGGAACUGAGACACGGUCCAGACUCCUACGGGAGGCAGCAGUAGGGAAUAUUGCACAAUGGAGGAAACUCUGAUGCAGCGACGCCGCGUGAGGGAUGAAGGCCUUCGGGUCGUAAAGCUCUGUCGCAGGGGAAUAACACAAUGAAUGUACCCUGUAAGAAAGGAUCGGCUAACUUCGUG